Molecule: ribosomal RNA, 406 nt
Filed under: uncultured bacterium
Lineage: Bacteria
Description: bacterial SSU rRNA
Rfam family: Bacterial small subunit ribosomal RNA
Source: RNAcentral
GACGAACGCUGGCGGCGUGCUUAACACAUGCAAGUCGAGCGAGGUCCAUCCGGUGGCAACACCGGGGAAGACCUAGCGGCGAACGGGUGAGUAACACGUGAGCAACCUGCCCCGAAGACUGGGAUAACACCGGGAAACCGGUGCUAAUACCGGAUGCCCUCCUCUGGUCGCAUGGCCUAGGGAGGAAAUGAAUUUUGCUUCGGGAGGGGCUCGCGGGCUACCAGCUUGUUGGUGGGGUAACGGCUCACCAAGGCGACGACGGCUAGCUGGUCUGAGAGGACGACCAGCCACACUGGGACUGAGACACGGCCCAGACUCCUACGGGAGGCAGCAGUGGGGAAUCUUGCGCAAUGGGCGAAAGCCUGACGCAGCGACGCCGCGUGAGGGAUGACGGCCUCGGUUGUAA